UCGCAGUGUGCAGGCCAGGCCAGGCCAGGCCACGCCUGUCUGGACCUGUCACAGACACUUGUUGAUUAAUAGGCGAGAGAAGUCAGUCUCUCUCCAGCACCCGGUUCAGGUGGCUGACCUUCCCAUUUUUCCCAUUUCCUCGUGCUUUGUCUCCGACUCUGUUCCCCCGAUCUGCGCCAAAUUAAUUCGUGGAUUCGGUGUAAGAGGCAUUCCAUGAAAUACCUUUUGACUCAAUUAAGAGACUGCUAAAACCAUUUGUCAUUGAGUUCGCUGAAAAUGAUCCAUGCGAUUUUCACAGAAAUGAGACGUUGAAAUAAAUGCGUGUUUCAAAAUUCCCAGGAAAAUUUAUUAUAUAUACGGGGAGAGGUCGAAAGUCUAUUAAAAAUGAUUUAAGAACAGAUAGUUGUUAAAAUAUAUACAUUUUUUUUAUUAUGAUUGAUUUUUCAUGCAUCAUAUACAUUCAAAAACUAAAAAGCUGGCGAUCGGUUGUUGUGAAAAUUCAAUUAGACUAAAAAUAACUGCAAGAAUUUUAAGCAAUAUAUAUUUUUUUAAUAUUUAUUUCAGAGUUCGCUGGGUGCUUUUCGGACCGCAAUACCAUUCAAUACCAUGGCUCUUGGCGAUUCUCUGUGGGUUUUUUAUCAAACCGAAAGUGGGAUCAACUUAUCCUCUUAAAAGACUCCUUAUCACUGAUUCUCUAAGAGCCUUCCUGUGUCUAUGCCUACCGGUUCUUUUCUUUGGUUUUCUUGAUUUGUUUGGUUUCUUACGUUUAUCAUUCUUGAUCGAUUCUUCGAGUUGAGUUUUAUUUAGGAGUUUCGUAAAUGAAUUGUGUUCUGGCUGCCAGAUCCAAGAGGGGUCUAGCCCUUUCUUAUUUGUGUUUUUUUUUCCUUUCUUGCGAUUUUCGGGAAAACCUUUCACCCUGAGUUGCUCUGGCGUUAGGAGUUUCGUAUAGGACUUGUGUUCUGGCUGCCAAAUCCAAGAGGGG
Molecule: small RNA, 982 nt
Filed under: Drosophila pseudoobscura pseudoobscura
Lineage: Eukaryota; Metazoa; Arthropoda; Insecta; Diptera; Drosophilidae
Description: GA32668
Source: RNAcentral